UUAGGUCUUAGUCUUUUCUUUUCCAUUUUUUAUGUUUAGACCAUUUUAAGUUGAUUAUUAAGAUGAAGUGAAGAAUGACGAUGAAUGCACAAUUAUGGUAUAAAGCGAAAUAAAGCAAAUAAAAUGACAAGAAAUUAAAAUGUUAGAAGUUAGGUAUUAGAAUUAAAAGUUAGAGUGCAGAAAUAUAAAGAGUUAGAUGUUAGGAUUAAUCAAAUCA
Molecule: long non-coding RNA, 217 nt
Filed under: Lathyrus oleraceus (garden pea)
Lineage: Eukaryota; Viridiplantae; Streptophyta; Magnoliopsida; Fabales; Fabaceae
Description: Pisum sativum (pea) long non-coding RNA (PSAT_LNC002952)
Source: RNAcentral